This 429-nucleotide long non-coding RNA is filed under the name Homo sapiens (human). Its description in RNAcentral is "non-protein coding lnc-CDC42EP2-1:1". The record is from RNAcentral. Lineage: Eukaryota; Metazoa; Chordata; Mammalia; Primates; Hominidae.
GUCUUUCUCUCUGAUCUGCCCACUCCAGUUUCCCCAGCUCUUUCUUCAGGCUGACAUUUUUCUCAAUUUAGAAAUGACACUGUUGAUCUACCAUUUAUCCAGUUAUCCUUCCUGACUCAGAUGUUCUUUCUUUGUUUCCCUGCGUCUUUGUUGACUUCCCUCAUCCCAUUGUAAGGGGAUGUUUUACACAGGUUUCUCCAAAAAUAAAAAGGAAGAUUCUCAUUGUACUGGGGGAGUAUCAGACUUGCCUAGGUUUUGGGAGUUAAACGUAGUGAGGUUCUUCGUGUUGGAAGAUUUUCCUCAGAGAAAUAGGGUUGCCAGUGCUUUCAAGUUGUGUCAUAAGUGAGGGGUUGCCCAUUUAAACAGAGCGUGACAUCUUGUUUCUCUUUGAAAAACUGUAGAGAUUGUGAGCAUCACCAGCCACUAAUU